AUACUCACGCUACAGAUGUUCCAGAUAUUGCGUACUCCUACUCCCAGGCUACAGAACUCUUGUACACUGCAUAUCCCAAGACCCAGGAUACUGAAAUACCACAAGCUGUGUCUUCUACACAUAAGCCACAGGUAUCCCAGAUAUUGGGAAUGCCUACUCCCAGGCUACAGAACUGGUGCAAACUGCUUCUCUCAACACUCAGGUUACUGAAAUCCUUUACAGUGCGAACGCCUACCCCCAGGCAUUCAUUCUACAGCUCAUAGCAAACCCGCAUAUUGCGUUUUGCUAGUCCCAGGCUCCAGAACUCUUGUAAACGCCUUCAUUCUACACCCAGGAUACAGAAUUCUGGUAAACUGCAUCUCUCUACCCAACCUAACAACAAGCACAUGAGCUGCAUCUCCCACAUUCAGGUUAUAGGAAACCCACAUAUUGUGUAUUGCUACUCCCACGCUACAGAACUCGGUAAACUGUUUCUCUCUGUAAGCAGCUUCCACAAUUCCCAUAAACUGCAU
Non-coding RNA from Oryctolagus cuniculus (rabbit), 512 nucleotides. The record is from RefSeq and is a predicted model, not a curated record. NCBI's taxonomy places the organism in Eukaryota, Metazoa, Chordata, Mammalia, Lagomorpha, Leporidae.